UACGUAGGGUGCGAGCGUUAAUCGGAAUUACUGGGCGUAAAGCGUGCGCAGGCGGGUAUAUAAGACAGGUGUGAAAUCCCCGGGCUCAACCUGGGAAUUGCAUCUGUGACUGUAUAGCUAGAGUACGGUAGAGGGGGAUGGAAUUCCGCGUGUAGCAGUGAAAUGCGUAGAUAUGCGGAGGAACACCGAUGGCGAAGGCAAUCCCCUGGACCUGUACUGACGCUCAUGCACGAAAGCGUGGGGAGCAAACAGG
Molecule: ribosomal RNA, 253 nt
Filed under: uncultured bacterium
Lineage: Bacteria
Description: partial 16S ribosomal RNA
Rfam family: Bacterial small subunit ribosomal RNA
Source: RNAcentral